This is an RNA transcript of Penaeus monodon (black tiger shrimp), 2273 nucleotides long. It is a transcript of the gene named blastula protease 10-like, with no coding region annotated. The record is from RefSeq and is a predicted model, not a curated record. Lineage: Eukaryota; Metazoa; Arthropoda; Malacostraca; Decapoda; Penaeidae. The transcript has 11 exons.
GUGACAGGAGCAUUUCCGAGAGGAGUCUGCAGAAAUUUAUUUGAGAUUAUAAAGUUUAUUUUAAUUGUGUUUUAAAAUCAGACAUCACAAUGGCAAACGAAUUAAUAUGGAUUCACCGCACAGUGAGAAUGAUGUUCCUCUGCUCGUUUUUGCACUUCGCCUCGCUCUUCGGCCACGACCUCCUCGACACGGACGCCGACCCCCACUCCCCGAACGACUUGCUGAACGACUACGUCCGUCACUCUUACACGUACGACCAGGAAGAGUACGACGACCUGGGAUUCCCCCUCGACGACCGCCGAGAGAAGGACGAGGACGACGAGGACGAGGACGUGUCCCCGGUCGAGUUCGUGUACGACCGGAGGUUCCCGUCCAGGUUCCUGCCGAUCGACCGGCGGGUACACCAGCUAUGAACACACAGGGCCGCUUCGACCUCCUCAACCCAGUUCUCGGGCCGGAAGGAGCCCCCUUUGUCGAAGGAGACAUGGUUUUCUCAGAAGAAGAGGGGGCGGCGGCGGCGGAGGAGGACGGAGGGCGGAAGCUCCCGUCGGAGGAGGAGCUGCUGUGGCCGCCGCACCCGGGAACAGGCUUUCCCUUCGUCCCGUUCGUCGUUCACAGCUCGGCCGAGAAAAUCAGGCCUUUCCUCGAGAAGGCCAUCCGCUCGUGGGAGAAGCGCACCUGCAUCACCUUCAAGGAACUACCCUCCGAAAUCGAACACAACUUCUUAGGAACGCAGAAGCGCCACCUUGGGCCAUACCUUGAGUUCGUGCGGAGUUCCGGCUGCUGGAGCUACGUCGGGAGGCAGUACCGGCGGUGGGGGGGACAGAAACUCUCGAUCGGGCGGGGUUGCACGAAGCUCGGCACAGUAUUGCAUGAAAUCGGCCAUGCACUCGGCCUCCUGCAUGAACAAUCGCGGAGUGACCGAGACGAGCAUGUGAAGAUCUUGUGGAAAAACGUCAUGCACGGGAAGCAGAAGAACUUUCGUGUGUGGAAAGACAGUCGAUUUGAUGAAGUGCCUUACGACUACUCUUCCGUCAUGCACUAUGGGAGUUAUUUUUUCGGCCAAGGCGGCCGGCCGACCCUUCUCCCCAGGAACCCUUUCCACCAGCACCUCCUUGGCCAGAGGGAUGGCUUUUCCUUCAGGGACAUCGCGGUGGCCAACUCCGUCUACGGCUGCAUUAAGCGAUGGGAAGCCUCCUGCGGCGCCUCGACCCCGAAGUGCGAGAACGGAGGCUACGUGUUCAGGGACUGCCGCUGCCUGUGCCCGCCCGGAACAGCCGGGCCUUCGUGCGCUGCUGUGACCGGGGACUACUAUCCACAGCUGAAGUGUGGCGGUAACGUGACGUCGUCCCAAAUCAUCUCGUCGCCAAGAUAUCCGCAGCCCUUUCCUGCGAAUUCAUGGUGCAUGUGGUGGGCGAGAGCACCACGCCCAUGCCAGCGCGUGAGGCUCGUCGUGGGCGCCUUCGAGCUCCUGCGCGGUGUGGGCGGCGUCUGCCACUGGGACUUGCUCGAGGUCCGGCUUCGGGACCCCCUUGAGGCGGGCGACGUUGCCCCGACCCAUCGUCCUCCCCCCUCCCGUCCCCCAGGUACUGCGGCGCCGACCUGUCCCCCGGCCAAGAGCUCGUCUCCGAAGGCCGGGACAUGUUCAUCGUCUUCCGCGGGAGGUAUGGCUUCGUGAGCGGGUUUUCGGCUCGGCUGGACUUCGUCGAGGGUGAGAGGGCGGGGAGCGAAGGAGGCGAGGAAUCAGCAGGGGUUAUGGGAGAUGAAGCGGAAAGUGGGCCGACAGGAGAAGGAAGAGGCACUGAUGGCGGAAAUUCGCUGUUUAAUUAGUGACAUCGAAAUUCGACGAAAAUAUUUUUCCCGUCGAUGUUAAACAGAAUCCUUGAAAUGCUGAAACUUGGUAUUUGCUUUGGCAAGAAGAAUGAUAAAGAUUAUGGUGAUUAAUCGUGAUGGCUUGAAAUUACAAAAUUAUUGCAAAUAAAAGCUUAUAUUAAGUAUUAAUUAACUGUUUUUCCAUGUGCAAAGUCACACUAAUGGUAUAUGUCCCUUCAUCUGCAUCCUUCCGAACUUCAACUGUGUAACUGUGGCAAAUGGUGUCCUUCAAACUAUACUGCUAUGCACAUUUAUACAAACUUUUUCGGGUUAAGGAUAUUCGUUUUUCAAUUUCUCUCAAAUCAACGUGUCUAAUGUGUUAUCUUAUUACAUCUUUGGUCAAACAUUGUAUAAUCUCUCUAAUGUUUACUUAAUACUGACUUUUUUUUGUGUGUGUGUUA